This 397-nucleotide ribosomal RNA is filed under the name uncultured bacterium. RNAcentral's name for it is "partial 16S ribosomal RNA". It matches the Rfam family "Bacterial small subunit ribosomal RNA", at positions 523 to 918 of the family's 1533-position model. The record is from RNAcentral.
AUACGUAGGGGGCGAGCGUUGUCCGGAAUGAUUGGGCGUAAAGGGCGCGUAGGCGGCCCGGUAAGUCUGGAGUGAAAGUCCUGUUUUUAAGAUGGGAAUUGCUUUGGAUACUGUCGGGCUUGAGUGCAGGAGAGAUAAGUGGAAUUCCCAGUGUAGCGGUGAAAUGCGUAGAGAUUGGGAGGAACACCAGUGGCGAAGGCGACUUACUGGACUGUAACUGACGCUGAGGCGCGAAAGUGUGGGGAGCAAACAGGAUUAGAUACCCUGGUAGUCCACACUGUAAACGAUGAAUGCUAGGUGUAGGGGGUAUCGACCCCUUCUGUGCCGCAGUCAACACAAUGAGCAUUCCGCCUGGGGAGUACGGCCGCAAGGUUGAAACUCAAAGGAAUUGACGGGG